GACAGCAGUCGCCGCGGUAAUACGGAGGGUGCAAGCGUUAAUCGGAAUUACUGGGCGUAAAGCGCACGCAGGCGGUUUGUUAAGUCAGAUGUGAAAUCCCCGAGCUUAACUUGGGAACUGCAUUUGAAACUGGCAAGCUAGAGUCUUGUAGAGGGGGGUAGAAUUCCAGGUGUAGCGGUGAAAUGCGUAGAGAUCUGGAGGAAUACCGGUGGCGAAGGCGGCCCCCUGGACAAAGACUGACGCUCAGGUGCGAAAGCGUGGGGAGCAAACAGGAUUAGAUACCCCUGUAGUCCCUGUCUCUUAUAC
This 306-nucleotide ribosomal RNA is filed under the name uncultured bacterium. Its description in RNAcentral is "partial 16S ribosomal RNA". It matches the Rfam family "Bacterial small subunit ribosomal RNA", at positions 507 to 807 of the family's 1533-position model. The record is from RNAcentral.